UGGCCUUGACAUACUAGAAACUUUCCAGAGAUGGAUUGGUGCCUUCGGGAAUCUAGAUACAGGUGCUGCAUGGCUGUCGUCAGCUCGUGUCGUGAGAUGUUGGGUUAAGUCCCGCAACGAGCGCAACCCUUUUCCUUACUUGCCAGCAUUUCGGAUGGGAACUUUAAGGAUACUGCCAGUGACAAACUGGAGGAAGGCGGGGACGACGUCAAGUCAUCAUGGCCCUUACGGCCAGGG
Molecule: ribosomal RNA, 237 nt
Filed under: uncultured bacterium
Lineage: Bacteria
Description: partial 16S ribosomal RNA
Rfam family: Bacterial small subunit ribosomal RNA
Source: RNAcentral